AGUCGAGGGGUAUGUUCUUCGGAAUAGAGACCGGCGCACGGGUGCGUAACGCGUAUGCAAUCUACCUUUUGCAGAGGGAUAGCCCAGAGAAAUUUGGAUUAAUACCUCAUAGUAUAGCAGUUUCGCAUGAAACCACUAUUAAAGUCACAACGGCAAAAGAUGAGCAUGCGUCCCAUUAGCUAGUUGGUAAGGUAACGGCUUACCAAGGCUACGAUGGGUAGGGGUCCUGAGAGGGAGAUCCCCCACACUGGUACUGAGACACGGACCAGACUCCUACGGGAGGCAGCAGUGAGGAAUAUUGGACAAUGGGCGCAAGCCUGAUCCAGCCAUGCCGCGUGCAGGAUGACGGUCCUAUGGAUUGUAAACUGCUUUUGUACAGGAAGAAACACUCCCUCGUGAGGGAGCUUGACGGUACUGUAAGAAUAAGGAUCGGCUAACUCCGUGCCAGCAGCCGCGGUAAUACGGAGGAUCCAAGCGUUAUCCGGAAUCAUUGGGUUUAAAGGGUCCGUAGGCGGUUUAGUAAGUCAGUGGUGAAAGCCCAUCGCUCAACGGUGGAACGGCCAUUGAUACUGCUAGACUUGAAUUAUUAGGAAGUAACUAGAAUAUGUAGUGUAGCGGUGAAAUGCUUAGAGAUUACAUGGAAUACCAAUUGCGAAGGCAGGUUACUACUAAUGGAUUGACGCUGAUGG
Molecule: ribosomal RNA, 689 nt
Filed under: Flavobacterium sp. S152.08.BNT.W.Gill.N
Lineage: Bacteria; Pseudomonadati; Bacteroidota; Flavobacteriia; Flavobacteriales; Flavobacteriaceae
Description: bacterial SSU rRNA
Rfam family: Bacterial small subunit ribosomal RNA
Source: RNAcentral